This 69-nucleotide transfer RNA is filed under the name Eubacterium sp. Its description in RNAcentral is "tRNA-Pro". It matches the Rfam family "tRNA". From Rfam's summary of the family: Transfer RNA (tRNA) molecules are approximately 80 nucleotides in length. Their secondary structure includes four short double-helical elements and three loops (D, anti-codon, and T loops). Lineage: Bacteria; Bacillati; Bacillota; Clostridia; Eubacteriales; Eubacteriaceae. The record is from RNAcentral.
GAGGAUGUGGUGUAAUGGUAACACACUCCCCUUGGGAGGGAGAGUCGCAGUUCAAAUCUGACAUCUUCU